CCUACGGGUGGCAGCAGUGGGGAAUAUUGGACAAUGGGCGAAAGCCUGAUCCAGCCAUGCCGCGUGUGUGAAGAAGGCCUUCGGGUUGUAAAGCACUUUCAGUGGGGAAGAAAGCCUUGGGGCUAAUACCCUCGAGGAAGGACAUCACCCACAGAAGAAGCACCGGCUAACUCCGUGCCAACAGCCGCGGUAAUACGGAGGGUGCGAGCGUUAAUCGGAAUUACUGGGCGUAAAGCGCGCGUAGGCGGUCUGAUAAGCCGGUUGUGAAAGCCCCGGGCUCAACCUGGGAACGGCAUCCGGAACUGUCAGGCUAGAGUGCAGGAGAGGAAGGUAGAAUUCCCGGUGUAGCGGUGAAAUGCGUAGAGAUCGGGAGGAAUACCAGUGGCGAAGGCGGCCUUCUGGACUGACACUGACGCUGAGGUGCGAAAGCGUGGGUAGCAAACAGGAUUAGAUACCCGGGUAGUC
This 465-nucleotide ribosomal RNA is filed under the name Vreelandella stevensii. RNAcentral describes it as "partial 16S ribosomal RNA". It matches the Rfam family "Bacterial small subunit ribosomal RNA", at positions 338 to 795 of the family's 1533-position model. Lineage: Bacteria; Pseudomonadati; Pseudomonadota; Gammaproteobacteria; Oceanospirillales; Halomonadaceae. The record is from RNAcentral.